GAUGAACGCUGGCGGCGUGCCUAAUACAUGCAAGUCGAGCGAACGGACGAGAAGCUUGCUUUUCUGAUGUUAGCGGCGGACGGGUGAGUAACACGUGGAUAACCUACCUAUAAGACUGGGAUAACUUCGGGAAACCGGAGCUAAUACCGGAUAAUAUUUUGAACCGCAUGGUUCAAAAGUGAAAGACGGUCUUGCUGUCACUUAUAGAUGGAUCCGCGCUGCAUUAGCUAGUUGGUAAGGUAACGGCUUACCAAGGCAACGAUGCAUAGCCGACCUGAGAGGGUUAUCGGCCACACUGGAACUGAGACACGGUCCAGACUCCUACGGGAGGCAGCCGUAGGGAAUCUUCCGCAAAGGGCGAAAGCCUGACGGAGCAACGCCGCGUGAGUGAUGAAGGUCUUCGGAUCGUAAAACUCUGUUAUUAGGGAAGAACAUAUGUGUAAGUAACUGUGCACAUCUUGACGGUACCUAAUCAGAAAGCCACGGCUAACUACGUG
RNAcentral lists this ribosomal RNA (497 nucleotides) under uncultured bacterium. RNAcentral's name for it is "partial 16S ribosomal RNA". It matches the Rfam family "Bacterial small subunit ribosomal RNA", at positions 28 to 507 of the family's 1533-position model. The record is from RNAcentral.